Molecule: ribosomal RNA, 882 nt
Filed under: uncultured bacterium
Lineage: Bacteria
Description: bacterial SSU rRNA
Rfam family: Bacterial small subunit ribosomal RNA
Source: RNAcentral
AGAGUUUGAUCCUGGCUCAGAACGAACGCUGGCGGCAUGGAUUAGGCAUGCAAGUCGAACGCGUGUAGUAAUACACGAGAGGCGCAAGGGUGAGGAACACGUGAGUAAGCUGCCCUUUAGUUGGGAAUAACUCUACGAAAGUGGAGCUAAUACCGAAUGUGACCAGCACCUCGCAUGAGGAGGUGGUUAAAGAUUUAUUGCUAAAGGAUGUGCUCGCGUCCCAUUAGCUAGUUGGUGAGGUAACGGCUCACCAAGGCAAUGACGGGUAGGUGGUCUGAGAGGAUGGUCACCCACACUGGGACUGAGAACUGCCCAGACUCCUACGGGAGGCUGCAGUCGAGAAUCUUCCGCAAUGGGCGAAAGCCUGAUGGAGCAAUGCCGCGUGCAGGAUGAAGGCCUUCGGGUCGUAAACUGCUGUCACCGGGGAUGAAUAAUGAUAGUACCCGGGGAGGAAGUCACGGUUAACUACGUGCCAGUAGUUGUGGUAAUACGUAGGUGACGAGCGUUGUUCGGAAUUAUUGGGCGUAAAGGGUUCGUAGGAUGUUUAUUAAGAUUGGUGUGAAAUUCCAAGGCUUAACCUUGGAACUGCAUUGAUUACUGAUGAACUAGAGUAUCGUAGAGGAAAGCGGAAUUCCAGGUGUAGCGGUGGAAUGCGUAGAUAUCUGGAAGAAUAUCGAUAGUGAAGGUAGCUUUCUGGGCGAUAACUGACUCUGAGGAACGAAAGCAUGGGGAGUAAACAGGAUUAGAUACCCUGGUAGUCCAUGCCGUAAACGUUGUGUGCUUGGUCCGAGCGGAUUCAACCCUGUUCGGAUCGGAGUUAAUAUGUUAAGCACACCGCCUGGGGAGUACGGUCGCAAGACUAAAACUCAAAGGAAUUGAUGG